RNAcentral lists this ribosomal RNA (469 nucleotides) under uncultured bacterium. RNAcentral's name for it is "bacterial SSU rRNA". It matches the Rfam family "Bacterial small subunit ribosomal RNA", at positions 28 to 491 of the family's 1533-position model. The record is from RNAcentral.
GAUGAACGCUAGCUACAGGCUUAACACAUGCAAGUCGAGGGGAAACGAUAUUGGAAGCUUGCUUCCGAUAGGCGUCGACCGGCGCACGGGUGAGUAACGCGUAUCCAACCUGCCCAUCACUUGGGGAUAACCUUGCGAAAGUAAGACUAAUACCCAAUGACGUCUCUAGAAGACAUCUGAAAGAGAUUAAAGAUUUAUCGGUGAUGGAUGGGGAUGCGUCUGAUUAGCUUGUUGGCGGGUAACGGCCCACCAAGGCGACGAUCAGUAGGGGUUCUGAGAGGAAGGUCCCCCANAUUGGAACUGAGACACGGUCCAAACUCCUACGGGAGGCAGCAGUGAGGAAUAUUGGUCAAUGGACGAGAGUCUGACCAGCCAAGUAGCGUGAAGGAUGAAGGUCCUACGGAUUGUAACUUCUUUAUAAGGGAAUAAACCUCCACGUGUGGGAGCUUGUAUGUACCUUAUGAAUAGC